This 461-nucleotide ribosomal RNA is filed under the name uncultured bacterium. RNAcentral describes it as "partial 16S ribosomal RNA". It matches the Rfam family "Bacterial small subunit ribosomal RNA", at positions 338 to 795 of the family's 1533-position model. The record is from RNAcentral.
CCUACGGGUGGCAGCAGUGAGGAAUAUUGGUCAAUGGGCGCAAGCCUGAACCAGCCAAGUCGCGUGAGGGAUGACGGUCCUAUGGAUUGUAAACCUCUUUUGUCGGGGAGCAAGGCCCGCCACGUGUGGCGGGAAGGAGAGUACCCGAAGAAAAAGCAUCGGCUAACUCCGUGCCAGCAGCCGCGGUAAUACGGAGGAUGCGAGCGUUAUCCGGAUUUAUUGGGUUUAAAGGGUGCGUAGGCGGUAGGUUAAGUCAGCGGUCAAAUAUCGGUGCUCAACCGCGGAAUUGCAGUUGAAACUGGAGGCCUUGAGUGCAGACAGGGAUGGCGGAAUUCAUGGUGUAGCGGUGAAAUGCUUAGAUAUCAUGAAGAACACCGAUCGCGAAGGCAAGUGUCCGAGGUGCAACUGACGCUGAGGCUCGAAAGUGCGGGUAGCAAACAGGAUUAGAUACCCUAGUAGUC